This 449-nucleotide ribosomal RNA is filed under the name uncultured bacterium. Its description in RNAcentral is "partial 16S ribosomal RNA". It matches the Rfam family "Bacterial small subunit ribosomal RNA", at positions 29 to 523 of the family's 1533-position model. The record is from RNAcentral.
AGCGAACGCUGGCGGCAGGCCUAACACAUGCAAGUCGAACGAAGUCUUCGGACUUAGUGGCGGACGGGUGAGUAACACGUGGGAACGUACCUUUUGGUUCGGAACAACUCAGGGAAACUUGAGCUAAUACCGGAUGAGCCCUUAGGGGGAAAGAUUUAUCGCCGAAAGAGCGGCCCGCGUUAGAUUAGCUAGUUGGUGAGGUAAAGGCUCACCAAGGCUACGAUCUAUAGCUGGUCUGAGAGGAUGAUCAGCCACACUGGGACUGAGACACGGCCCAGACUCCUACGGGAGGCAGCAGUGGGGAAUCUUGCGCAAUGGGCGAAAGCCUGACGCAGCCAUGCCGCGUGAAUGAUGAAGGUCUUAGGAUUGUAAAAUUCUUUUACCAGGGACGAUAAUGACGGCACCUGGAGAAAAAGCCCCGGCUAACUUCGUGCCAGCCGCCGCCGUAA